AACGCGAAGAACCUUACCCAGGCUUGAACAGCGAGUGACCAUCUCCGAAAGGGGACUUCCGCAAGGACACUCGUAGAGGUGCUGCAUGGCUGUCGUCAGCUCGUGUCGUGAGAUGUUGGGUUAAGUCCCGCAACGAGCGCAACCCUUGUCUGCUGUUGCCAUCAGGUUAAGCUGGGCACUCUGCAGAGACUGCCGGUGAUAAACCGGAGGAAGGUGGGGAUGACGUCAAGUCAGCAUGGCCUUUAUGUCUGGGGCUACACACGUGCUACAAUGGCCGGUACAAACCGUCGCGAGCCCGCAAGGGGGAGCUAAUCGGAGAAAGCCGGUCUCAGUUCGGAUCGUAGGCUGCAACUCGCCUGCGUGAAGUUGGAAUCGCUAGUAAUCGCGGAUCAGCACGCCGCGGUGAAUACGUUCCCGGGCCUUGUACACACCGCUCGUC
This 439-nucleotide ribosomal RNA is filed under the name uncultured bacterium. RNAcentral's name for it is "bacterial SSU rRNA". It matches the Rfam family "Bacterial small subunit ribosomal RNA", at positions 958 to 1398 of the family's 1533-position model. The record is from RNAcentral.